UGAGGAAUCUUCCACAAUGGACGAAAGUCUGAUGGAGCGACACCGCGUGAAGGAUGAAGGUCUAACGAUUGUAAACUUCUUUUCUGAGGGAGCAAAAUGAGAGUACCUCAGGAAUAAGGGACGGCUAAUUACGUGCCAGCAGCCGCGGUAAUACGUAAGUCCCAAGCGUUACCCGGAAUUAUUGGGUGUAAAGGGUCCGUAGGUGGACUUGCAAGUCAGGUAUGAAAGACCGGAGCUCAACUCCGAGUUUGUACCCGAAACUGCAAGUCUAGAAUCAGGGAGAGGUUAGCGGAAUUCUUAGUGUAGGGGUGCAAUCCGUAGAUACUAAGAAGAACACCAAAAGCGAAGGC
RNAcentral lists this ribosomal RNA (350 nucleotides) under uncultured bacterium. Its description in RNAcentral is "bacterial SSU rRNA". It matches the Rfam family "Bacterial small subunit ribosomal RNA", at positions 355 to 722 of the family's 1533-position model. The record is from RNAcentral.